RNAcentral lists this ribosomal RNA (114 nucleotides) under uncultured bacterium. Its description in RNAcentral is "partial 16S ribosomal RNA". It matches the Rfam family "Bacterial small subunit ribosomal RNA", at positions 1369 to 1482 of the family's 1533-position model. The record is from RNAcentral.
CGUUCCCGGGUCUUGUACACACCGCCCGUCACACCAUGGGAGCGGGUUUUACCAGAAGUAGGUAGCUUAACCGCAAGGAGGGCGAUUACCACGGCAGGGUUCGUGACUGGGGUG